RNAcentral lists this ribosomal RNA (126 nucleotides) under Frontoniidae sp. Its description in RNAcentral is "partial small subunit ribosomal RNA". It matches the Rfam family "Eukaryotic small subunit ribosomal RNA", at positions 1670 to 1804 of the family's 1831-position model. The record is from RNAcentral. Lineage: Eukaryota; Ciliophora; Oligohymenophorea; Peniculida; Frontoniidae.
CGCCCGUCGCUCCUACCGAUUGAGUGAUCAGGUGAACCUUCUGGACUGCGUCUGGACUUGAGCCAGAUGCGGGAAGUUAUGUAAACCUUAUUACUUAGAGGAAGGAUAAGUCGUAACAAGGUUUCC